GAGCCUGGGGAUGAGUCAAGGAGGGAGAAAGAGAGGGUACAGCAGUCUUCUGGAUAGACCUGGAAAAGAAGUAGUGCACAGACCAGGAUCCCUGACUUCCUGGAGUGUGAGUAAAUUUAAAUUCUCAAGACAAGGAUCAAACCCAUGGCACAGCAGCAUCAUGGGCCGUUGCAGUGAUAACACCGGAUCCUUAACCCACUGAGCCACAAGGACACGCCACACCUGUCUUUCUUUGUUCAAUUACAUUUAUUUGUGAGCUGUAAAGAUUUAUUUAUUUAUUUAUUUAUUAUUAUUAUUAUUUUUUUGCUAUUUCUUGGGCCGCUCCCGCAGCAUAUGGAGGUUCCCAGGCUAGGGGUCGAAUUGGAGCUAUAGCUGCCAGCCUACACCACAGCCACAGCAACGCUGGAUCAUUAACCCACUGAGCAAGGGCAGGGAUUGAACCCGCAACCUCAUGGUUCCUAGUCGGAUUCGUUAACCACUGCGCCAUAACGGGAACUCCGAGCUGUAAAGAUUUAAAAUCCCACAUUUCACCCAGAAAGUUUGACUGGGACCAGUUCUGGUAAGGUGUUACUUUCAAGAGAAAUCAAAGCCCUAAGUUUACAGAAAACAGCCACUGGUGGAAGGGUCAGUAGUAAACAGAGUGUUAGGAAAGAAUACACAGUGAAUCUAGGAGGAUGAAAAAACCAGGCACAAGUCACAGAGAACGACUUUCUACACAGGCAUAUUAGGAGAGUCUAGCCUGCUGUGAAGAAGCUGACAUGAGAUGCCAGUAAUUGUAGGAUCCCAUCUCUCACAAGAAAAGGGCAUAAUCUGGAUAAAAUAUGCUUUCACACCCUCCUAGAAUCCUGGGCAAAAGCACCCUUAAAAAAACAAGAACAAAAUUCUACUUUCUAGGCAAAAGUUGAACCUGAUGAAUUAAUCUCCCUUUAUUGUAGAAUAGACGAGAGUGGCUUAUAUGCCAGCAUCCUUAAGAGUCUGGAGAAUAUACCCAUUUAAGGAUUGUCUGUCCAAGGAUUAUAUCCAAAUCUUAGUGUUUGGUUUUAUUUCUUAACUUGUAAGUAAUUCAGAUUUGAUUUUCUUCUUUUGGGUUUACUGAAAGUACAAGUAACAAUAACAGUCAUUUAAGUAAGAAGCUUCAGUGCCCCACAGUCAUUUAGCUUUGCCCUGCCCUCUUCCUAUCAUCCAUGUCCAGCCAGAUGGAGAAAAUACCUUGAAGGAUGGUAUUCACAGAAUCCCUCAUUGGCAAAAUUGAAAUAUAGACUCUGUAUUAGAUGACACUAUUAAAUUUGGAUCAGUUGUCUUAGAUGUGAUGAUAUUGUGAUUAUGUAGGUGAAUGUUCUUAUUCUUAAGAUGAGGCAUGGAAUAUUUGGGGUAGAAUUUUCUGAUGUGUGCAACUUACUUUCAAAAAAAUAUAAAUGGCAAGAGAGGAAAAAUAGAGGAGGAGGAGAGAGUUGAGGGACAGGGGAGACAGGGAAAUGCAGCAAGAGUUAAUAAUGAUUUGAUCUCAGUGAAGAAUGUAUGGGUGUUUUUUGUUUUGUUUUGUUUUUGCGGGGGAGGGACUCUUACCUGUGGUAUGUGAAAGUUUCCAGGCUAGGGCUCAAAACUGUUCCAAGGCAAUAACCGGAGCCACUGCAGUGACAACACUGGAUCCUUAACCCACUAAGCCACCAGGAAACUCCUGUAUGAGUGUUAAUUGUACCAAUCUUUGCAUUUUUUGGACAAUUUGAAUUUUUUUUUUUUCUUGGGGCCACACAGGCGGGAUAUGGAGGCUCCCAGGCUAGGGAUAGAAUCAGAGCUACAGCUGCUGGCCUACACCACAGCCACGGCAACAUGGGAUCUGAGCCGCGUCUGCAACCUACUCCACAGCUCGCAGUAACACUGGAUCCUUAACCCACUGAAUGAGGCCAGGGAUCAAAGCUGAGUCCUCAUGGAUACUAGUUAGGUCCAUUAAUCUCUGAACCACGACAGGAACUCUCUGAAAUUUUUCAAAAUAAAUAUUGUGAAAAAAUAUAAAAACAGUAUGUAGGCACAUUUGCUAGGCAUUUGAAACAAGUGGAAACUACUUCAAGGGAGUGGAUAAAAUCAGUGUUUCCUAAACUGUGUUCCCAUUUGUUUAAAAAAAAUAGGAUUUUGUGGUCAAAUUAGUUUGGAAACGCUGCAUAUUAUCUUUUUCAGAUUCAAAGCACUUUCAUUUAUUAAAGAUUUUAAGAAGAACUUAAUACAGGCUUUUUCAAACUUACCUACCUAAAGAACCUUGCACCUAUAUAACGUUAUGCUACAGGACAAUAGAUCUAAAUGCAAUUAAGAGAGCAAUUUAAAACAAUCAUACAGUAAUGUUUUCUAAUAGAAAAUUCUAUUGCUAUUACAUGAAAAUCUAGAAACAAUUAUUUUCUCAGAAGCAGGCUUUGUAUGCACUACAUUAUAUAAAGUACAGGAAGGAAUGACCAAUUAGAGUUGUGGGAGUCAAUGUGACUCUUCAGUGAAAAUGAGGAAUUUAAAAAUAAUGGUAUUAAUCCAUGGGAAAGUCUAACUUGGACAACACAAUUAUACACAUAUCAAGAGGCACAUAUUUUUGAAAUCAAAGUGGGUAUACCUGUUAUUUUCUAAUGUUAAAUAUUUCUAAUCUUAUUGACAUAGACAUGCUAACUUUGUUCUUCCAUACUUUUCUUUCUGCUAUUUUCUUGUACUUCAUUAUUGCCCCCAACUAAAGUUUUGCCUAACUACAAUAAUCACACCCAUUUGGAAAGCAGAGGAAUGAGAGACACAGGGCAAUAAGUGGUUCCAUGAAAGUUCUGCAAUUCUGCAGGUGACAGGACCUCAGCUGAUCAAGUAGACAUCAUCUUGAAUGUUACCAGUCAAUGUACAAGAGGGAAAUGAGAACUCUGGACAUUCUGUUGUCAGUAAAUUCUUCUCUUAAAAGUUGGGGGAGGGGAGAGAAGAGGUAAAUAGGUUGAUAAAAGGAUUGGAUAGAUGGAUGGAUAGGAAGCAGGAUAUUAAAACUGAAGUUUCAGCCAGGACACUAGGAUAAAAUAGAUGUGAAAUUCGAAAGACAGAUUCCCAUAUGUAGAAUUUACAAAGGGAAAUUUCCCAAGACUCUUAGAUCAAGGAUAUAACAAGUAGUGGGAAAAAGAGGUGGUCAGAAUGUGGGAAUGUGGGAGAACUUCCUUGAGGAAUAGAUCUUUAGAGAAGGCUAUGUGGUGAGACAUAUCUUUUCUCACCAAGUAAAGGGGCUUUCAUUAGACUCGAGAAAGCUUAAUACAUGACACUUACAGUUGAGAAUCAUCAUGAACUGGGAUCUGACUCCUCUCUGGAAAGGCAAGAACAGACUUGCUGACUGAUUUCGUGGAGCCAGAAGAAUGUUGCAAGGUUAGAACCAGACUGUACUCCUUAAAGUGUUAGGGCAAAGGUGCAUUUAUUUCCCCAUGGAUAAGAGGAGCUCAUGAAGGAGAGAAAGCCAAUAUGGAGUCAUCUUGGGUCAUGUCCAGUAGGACUGCCUAGAGGGGUGGAGGGACAGCUUUAAGUAGCAGGAUUACUGUGGAAUGAGUCACAGGUCACCAUCUACCUCUGCUGUCAUGAGAAGGGCCCUAGAGGGGAUUUCUGAAGAGCCCAAGAAAGUGACCAAACAGUCCACGUAGAUGUCUGCCAAGGCCUAAGAGCACAUUGCCUCUUCUCUUACACUGCCUUGGAGGGGUCAGAAACUGGCUGCAAACAGGCUGGGAUGAAGCAGAAGGAGCAAAGCCAACCACAGCCCUCUCUUUCAUCUGCAACUGGACCAUCCUGGGCAGAGAAAAGACUUGCAUUUAAGUCAAGUUCCGAAGUUUCUCCCCCAUAUCUCCUGCCACUCUUCUCCAUGAACCUCUUUUGCAGUCAAACUGGGAUACUUGGCAUUCCUAAAAUCAUAGUAUUUCUUCCUUUUCCUGCCUCUGCUAAUGCAAUUUCGUCCCGCUGCAGUUAAUAGUUACAGUUAAGAAGUUACUCUUCUUCCUCUUUGCCUUUUGCCCUACCUGCCCUUGCAUUCUAAUGAUGAUCUUUAUCAAUACUGUCGCAUCUCCUCUACCAUGUUGUCCUGGACCCAGCCCUUUGCCCUUUGCCCUUUCAGUAGGAAGGGGCCAGAUUGUGAGGAGCCUAAACAUUAGAGGAGUUUUGUUGUUCGUGUCUUGGCGCUGCAGAAACAACUCUGACUAGGAACCAUGAGGUUGCAAGUUCGAUCCCUGGCCUUGCUCAGUGGGUUAAGGAUCCGGUGUUGCCAUGAGCCAUGGUGUAGGUCAUAGACUCAGCUCAGAUCUGGUGUUGCUGUGGCUCUGGCGUAGGCCGGGAGCAACAACUCUGAUUAGACCCCUGGCCUGGGAACCUCCAUAUGCCAUGGCUGCAGCCCUAAAAAGACAAAAGACAAAAAAACCAAAAAAAAAAAAAAA
This 4415-nucleotide long non-coding RNA is filed under the name Sus scrofa (pig). RNAcentral describes it as "lncRNA (ENSSSCG00025076556.1)". Lineage: Eukaryota; Metazoa; Chordata; Mammalia; Artiodactyla; Suidae. The record is from RNAcentral.